UCCAUACCCACCACCGCUACCACUCCCCGCACCUCCACCGUAACCUCCUGCAUGCUCCCCACCAGCCCCAUAGUACCCACCACUACCACCGCCACUCCCUCCACCACCUCCACCUCCAUACCCGCUACCAUGUUCUCCAUACCCACCAUACCCUGAACCACUUCCCGUACCACCACCACCUCCAUAACUAGGAACAUGAUCAUACCCACCACCACCAGCAUAUCCACCUCCACCACCUUGGCCCCCACCGCCACCGCCACCAUAUCCUCCACCAUGUUCACCUCCUCCUCCAUACCCACUACCACUACCACUCCCGGAACCCUGACCACCACCUCCAUACGAGCCAUAUCCUGGCCCUACAUGUCCACCUCCACCACCACCACUACCACUACCUCCUCCUCCACCACCACCGAUACUCUCAUAACUGAAAAGUGAUCUGGUGGCUGAGCAAAUGCCAAUGCAAAAGAAGACAAAGAAAACAUUAAGAACAACUUUCUGAGAAGCCAUUUUAGGAAAGUUUGAGUAACUACAAAGAUCUUGAAAUGCUAUUUAUAGGAAUUCCGAGGAAGCUAGACGUCAAAAACUAUGAAUGAGUAUGCACAUGGUGACUUGAAAGUGGGUGUAUCGAUCCCAUAUUGGGUCCAGCCUCCACCUACCUACGGCGCAC
Molecule: long non-coding RNA, 667 nt
Filed under: Lactuca sativa (garden lettuce)
Lineage: Eukaryota; Viridiplantae; Streptophyta; Magnoliopsida; Asterales; Asteraceae
Description: long non-coding RNA (LSAT_LNC006713)
Source: RNAcentral